UACGUAGGUGACAAGCGUUGUCCGGAUUUAUUGGGCGUAAAGCGCUCGCAGGUGGUUCAUUGCGUCGUGCGUGAAAGACCCCGACUCAACUGGGGAGGGUCGUGCGAAACGGGUGAACUAGAGGCCAGUAGGGGGAUGCGGAAUUCCGGGUGUAGUGGUGGAAUGCGUAGAGAUCCGGAGGAACACCAGCGGCGAAGGCGGCAUCCUGGACUGGUCCUGACACUCAGGAGCGAAAGCGUGGGGAGCGAUCCGG
This 253-nucleotide ribosomal RNA is filed under the name uncultured bacterium. RNAcentral describes it as "partial 16S ribosomal RNA". It matches the Rfam family "Bacterial small subunit ribosomal RNA", at positions 524 to 776 of the family's 1533-position model. The record is from RNAcentral.